UUCCCAUCCAUAGGUCGAUGCAACCAUGGUCUACGUUCGCGGGCCUUGCAGUCUUGCGUGAAUGGAGAGCCGGACCAUACAAUAACGUUGUCUGUAACAUUGAGAACAACCGUAUCCUGUGCGGGAGGCCCUGGCUGGGGGGAUAUGGGCCUCGGUGGGGGGGGGAAGGGCACGUGGGGGUUGGAGGUUGGGACGAAGAGGGGGAAUUGGGGGAGAGCGUGGGAUUUUGAGGGUAAGCGUGUGGGGGCUGGGGGAGCGCCUGGGGGCCGGGAGAGCGCGUGGGGCCCGUGUUGGGACUGGGAGAGCAAGUGUGGGAGAGCGCAUGGAGACUGUAGGAGGGGGGGUUGGGAGAAAGCAUGGGAGAAUGAGUGCGGGGGGUUGUGGGCUGGCUGCUGGCUAGCUAUGUGGCUGUAAUAUUGCUAGGGGCUAGGUAGUUUGUGUUAUUGCAGGCUUGCCUAGGUGAAUAGGUUUGGAUGCUGAGAGCUGCAUGCACAUCUUAAGGGCGAAGUGUGAGGUAGGAUGGUGCUUAUAGGCGAUCUGGCAGCCCUUGAGCCUCGGCCCGUUUUUGGGCGGUUUGCAGGUACGGGAACGCACCCACGACCAUGUAACACACAUACACACAUCUUAAGGGCUGCCUUGGCAUGUCAGGUCAUGGUGAAGAUAUGCUCGUGUUGUUGGGACUUGAACCAGUCGGGUGUUGGCUUCCUCGAAGCCUGGAAAAGGGCGGGGUUCCCCUGCAUCCAUGCAGGCCGUUAGCUAUGGCGGCACGUGUGACAAUUGAUGUGUCAACGUGGUGGGAACUGUGCUUGUUGCAGCAGUACUGAUGCUGUGGGAGCUAUGCUUCCGCCACACAGCCGCGAGCUUCAUGG
RNAcentral lists this long non-coding RNA (869 nucleotides) under Volvox carteri. RNAcentral describes it as "long non-coding RNA (VCAR_LNC000746)". The record is from RNAcentral. Lineage: Eukaryota; Viridiplantae; Chlorophyta; Chlorophyceae; Chlamydomonadales; Volvocaceae.